RNAcentral lists this ribosomal RNA (456 nucleotides) under uncultured Bacillus sp. RNAcentral describes it as "bacterial SSU rRNA". It matches the Rfam family "Bacterial small subunit ribosomal RNA", at positions 929 to 1382 of the family's 1533-position model. The record is from RNAcentral. Lineage: Bacteria; Bacillati; Bacillota; Bacilli; Caryophanales; Bacillaceae.
GCGGUGGAGCAUGUGGUUUAAUUCGAAGCAACGCGAAGAACCUUACCAGGUCUUGACAUCCCCUGACAACCGAGAGAUCAGGCGUUCCCCGUUCGGGGGACAGGGUGACAGGUGGUGCAUGGUUGUCGUCAGCUCGUGUCGUGAGAUGUUGGGUUAAGUCCCGCAACGAGCGCAACCCCUACGUUUAGUUGCUAACGCGUGAAGGCGAGCACUCUAGACGAACUGCCGUUGACAAAACGGAGGAAGGUGGGAUGACGUCAAAUCAUCAUGCCCCUUAUGUUCUGGGCUACACACGUGCUACAAUGGCCGGUACAGACGGACGCAAAGCCGCGAGGUGGAGCAAAUCCUAAAAAGCCGGUCUCAGUUCGGAUUGCAGGCUGCAAUUCGCCUGCAUGAAGUCGGAAUCGCUAGUAAUCGCAGGUCAGCAUACUGCGGUCGAAUACGUUCCCGGGCCUU